Molecule: long non-coding RNA, 2696 nt
Organism: Hypanus sabinus (Atlantic stingray)
Lineage: Eukaryota; Metazoa; Chordata; Chondrichthyes; Myliobatiformes; Dasyatidae
Exons: 3
Source: RefSeq, a predicted model, not a curated record
GAAAUAAUGUUAUUAAUAUGAAUUUCAUUUGGCAAGAAAGAAUUUUCAUGAACGCUGAAAAUUUUUAACAAAUUUUUGAUCACUUCAGAGAGGGCUGCUCUCAAAUGAGAGAGAUGCAGGUUUCUCCUUUCCUUAUCUGUAUUUAGAUACCUGUCCACUGAAAAACACCAUUGUGGAAUUGAAUCCAGCUUUCACUGUUUUCCUCUCAUCCAGAUUCUACAAUUCUUCACCAGUCAAGUACUACAUUGAGGGGAAUAAACAGUCAAGGCUUUGGGCCGAAACCCUACUUUGGGACUGGAAAGAAAGGGGCAGAAGCCAGAACAAGGCAGCGAGGGGAGGGGAAGGAGUACAUGCUGUCAGGUGAUAAGCGAGACUAUGUGAAGGGAAGAGGGGUGCAAGUUAAGAAGAUGCAUGGAUAGGUAGAAAAGAUAAAGAGCUAAAGAGGAACCAGAGCGAGGUGAUGGCCAGAUGAGAAGGGGUACAGGGUAACCAGAACAUGAAAUGGGAAAAGCGAGGAGGAUGGUAUUGCUGUUGUAGUCUGGUGGAUUGGCCUCUAUCUUACUGAGGCCAGAUGGUAAUUCUCAGACACCUCCACUUACUUCUUGUACAGGACCAUUGAGGAGCACCAGGCCAUUGUCCUGUGCACCAUCACCAACCUCUUGACUUUGGAGAUCUCCGAUCCACUGGCACCAACCUCAGUUCCCGUACUCUGCAGAAUUCAGCACCAUCAUUCCAAGAGUAUUAAUCAACAAGUUUCAAAAGCUGAGCCCUGUACCUUUCUCUGCAACUGGAUUAUUGACUUAUCAGGAGGACCACAGUGGCUGGAGUCUGUUUGGAAUCCGUGAUCUACAGCUGCACUUGAACUACAGUUGUUCACGGUGGUAGGCUCCCACUCUCACAGCUCACCGAGUGGCCUGGAAUACAUGCACCUUCAUUCAGGGUGUGGCUCUGCGGCCCAAUAUACAACCCAAUUCCUUGCCAGUGCAACCAACUGAAGCACCACGGAAGAUCGGAACACUGAAACAUCAAAACAGUGUCAGGGCCUCUGCACUUGAGUGAUCACGCUCUUUCAAAGGAGAAUCUGCUGCUGAUUCUCGAGUCAGGAAACUAAAUAAAAUGACACUGCAGACUGCAACAUUGAAGCAGCAAGUUGUUGGUCUUCCCUCUCACUGUGGCAGGGGUGAUACCCCUCUCUCCUUCAUUAGUGAGAGAGUGCCUGUGGGACGUUGAACUGUUGGGAUGAACUCCAGAUCAUGGUCUCUUUGGAGGCUUUGCCAUUGUUUGCACGGCAGGCAGUGGUGGGGCUGAUGCUUUCUGCUGGAACAGGUGGGGGAGGGUUGCUUGUGCGUGGGAGUUGAGAGGGAGGGCUUCGGGGUUCUACCAUUUUCCUGUCAUUCAAUCUUUGGGGUUUUCUUCUGUUUCGUGAAUGUGUGUGAAGAGUAAGAAUUUCAGGUUGUAUACACUCGCUGAUAUUAAAUGAAGCCAUUGAACACCUUACAGUGCAAGUGAUCUGGGUUCAAGUUCUGCUGCUGUCUCCAAGAAGUUUGUAUAUUCUCCGUUUUCUCCCACCUUCCAAAGACGUACAAAUUAGUAUGUUAAUUGGUCAAAGGUUAACUGGAUGGUGCAGGCUCUUUGGGCUGGCAAGGUCUGUUACUGUGACAUUAUCUCCCAAAACCGAUACUGAGAACACCAGUUGUAGAAUCCUUGAAAGCAAGUCUGUAGGUUGUAGAAUCAGGACAGAGUUUUGGUGAGUGAAAUGAUCCACGAUGGUUCAGGAGCCUAAUGAUUGUAGGAUAAUAACUGCUCCUGACACUGGUUGAAUGUGCCCUCACACUUCUGUACCUCUUGCCUGGUGGUAGUAGCAAAAAGAAAGCUGGCGGGGUAUUUUGGAUGUUAUCUUCCUGUGGCAGCAAUCCAUUAUGUAUUCAGUGCAGGAAGGGCUUUGUGUGUGACAGACAGGACAGUAUCCACCACUUUCUGUAGUCUUUCUUUCCUGGACAUUGGAGUCCCAGGAAACCAGGGUGUGAUACAAUCAGUCAAGAUACUCUCCACUGUUCAUCUAUACAAGUUUGUGACAGUUUCUGAAUCUACACAAACUUCUAAGUAGAGGGACUAUUGUGCCUUGCGAUGACAUUUACAUGCUGGUCUGGGACAGAUCCUCUGAUAUGUGAAUGUCAAGGAAUUUAAAGCCACUGACCCUCUCCCCCUAUGCGAACUGGCUCACAGACUUCCAGUUUCUUCCUUUUGUAGUUGAUAUCCAGCUCUUUGGUAAGGCUAUUGUUGUGGCACCACUGAACCAGAUUUCAAUCUCCUUCCUAUAUCCGUACCUCCUACUAGAUGCUCUAUCUCAGUCAACUUGGAGUCUUUGCAUCAUCCUGACAAUUCAGCAUAAAUUGAAAUGAAUUAGUUGGCUCCAUCAUCGUGAUCACUGAUUAUAUUACCAAUGACCAAGACCCAAGCACUGAACACUGCAGUACUCUAAUAGAUAUUGUCCAUUACACCAACCUUCAAAAGACACAUUCCUAUGGCAGCUUUCAUGCCAAUUUAUUAUCCCAAUACAAGUUUAAUAUUAAGGACUUGUGGCGACCCAUUUCCUGGCACAUCCGAACCAGCUCACAAUUAGAUAGCCUACGGGGGUUUGCGAGCACAGAGCUUUGGAGCCUCUGCGCCACGGGGGGCAGGUCGAGAGAGGCUUA